Molecule: unclassified non-coding RNA, 253 nt
Filed under: plant metagenome
Description: partial contains small subunit ribosomal RNA, internal transcribed spacer 1, and 5.8S ribosomal RNA
Rfam family: Eukaryotic small subunit ribosomal RNA (bases 1-54)
Source: RNAcentral
GGAAGUAAAAGUCGCAACAAGGUCUCCGUUGGUGAACCAGCGGAGGGAUCAUUACAGAGUUGCAAAACUCCCAAACCAUUGUGAACGUUACCUAUCCCGUUGCUUCGGCGGGCGGCCCGGGCCCCGCGCCCGGCGCCCCCCGGCCCCCCGUGGGCGCCCGCCGGAGGUAAACCAAACCCUUGAAUUGCAUGGCCUCUCUGAGUCUUCUGUACUGAAUAAGUCAAAACUUUCAACAACGGAUCUCUUGGUUCUG